UACGUAGGGGGCAAGCGUUAUCCAGAUUUACUGGGUGUAAAGGGAGCGUAGACGGCAAUGCAAGUCUGGAGUGAAAGGCGGGGGCCCAACCCCCGGACUGCUCUGGAAACUGUAUAGCUGGAGUGCAGGAGAGGUAAGUGGAAUUCCUAGUGUAGCGGUGAAAUGCGUAGAUAUUAGGAGGAACACCAGUGGCGAAGGCGGCUUACUGGACUGUAACUGACGUUGAGGCUCGAAAGCGUGGGGAGCAAACAGG
This 253-nucleotide ribosomal RNA is filed under the name uncultured bacterium. Its description in RNAcentral is "partial 16S ribosomal RNA". It matches the Rfam family "Bacterial small subunit ribosomal RNA", at positions 524 to 776 of the family's 1533-position model. The record is from RNAcentral.